This 301-nucleotide ribosomal RNA is filed under the name uncultured bacterium. RNAcentral describes it as "partial 16S ribosomal RNA". It matches the Rfam family "Bacterial small subunit ribosomal RNA", at positions 509 to 807 of the family's 1533-position model. The record is from RNAcentral.
CAGUAGCCGCGGUAAUACGGAGGAUCCAAGGGUUAUCCGGAAUCAUUGGGUUUAAAGGGUCCGUAGGCGGUCUUGUAAGUCAGUGGUGAAAGCCCAUCGCUCAACGGUGGAACGGCCAUUGAUACUGCAGGACUUGAAUUAUUGGGAAGUAACUAGAAUAUGUAGUGUAGCGGUGAAAUGCUUAGAGAUUACAUGGAAUACCAAUUGCGAAGGCAGGUUACUACCAAUUGAUUGACGCUGAUGGACGAAAGCGUGGGUAGCGAACAGGAUUAGAUACCCGCGUAGUCCCUGUCUCUUAUAC